UUGUCUUUAUCGGAUCCACACUUCUUGCACAGGUAGCAGGCUGACAGAUUUGUUAAGAACUCCACGUCUGACGAGGACUUCAGAUCAAGAAGCUGAUGGGCUCGGAACUGAAGAGAUCUGUAAAGUUUUCCCUCCAAUUUCUGUUGUUAUAUUUAAACGUGUCUGUAUUAUUGUUAGUGUUUACAGAACUUUACAGAAGUGUGUACACCAUGGAAAAGUGUUUUAAUCUGAAAUCUACCUUCUAAGUGUUGCAGGUCACACUUGACUGUUUUUACCGUUUCACCUGCUGUUUCCAUGUGGUGCUGAGAUAUUUCGAGGGUAAGUCUGGAAUUCCGCUAGUUCUGAACUAUUCAUGUUUGGUAAAAGUCCACUACUAGCAGAACUCGGAUUUGCUCCCGACUGCCGACAGGACCCUCUCGGACCACCCUGACCAGGCGGGGACGGUCUGUUCAGCCACCAUCCUGAACAGCAGGUGGUCUAUGUGUGUUACAUUACACUGAUGGGAAGUGAACCAAAUCCACGUUUGGUCCUCAUAUGGUUCACUUACCAUCAGAUUUAAUCAUCAAACCAGACAUCAUCUAACUUCACAUGUGAUAUUUUUAUUUUUCAGAUUUGUUGUACAAAUUGUCUGUGUUUCUUGCUUUUAAAUGUUAAAUGUUGUUUAACUAUGAGGCAUGUUAGAACACAGAGAAAGGUAAUUUAAAAUGUUUGUUAUUUGCUUUUAAAGAAAUUUAAAUACAUUAAAAUAAUUGUUUCUUCAUCAA
Long non-coding RNA from Austrofundulus limnaeus, 764 nucleotides. RefSeq lists it as uncharacterized. The record is from RefSeq and is a predicted model, not a curated record. NCBI's taxonomy places the organism in Eukaryota, Metazoa, Chordata, Actinopteri, Cyprinodontiformes, Rivulidae. The transcript has 2 exons.